This 551-nucleotide ribosomal RNA is filed under the name uncultured Glomus. RNAcentral describes it as "SSU rRNA". It matches the Rfam family "Eukaryotic small subunit ribosomal RNA", at positions 548 to 1098 of the family's 1831-position model. The record is from RNAcentral. Lineage: Eukaryota; Fungi; Glomeromycota; Glomeromycetes; Glomerales; Glomeraceae.
UUGGAGGGCAAGUCUGGUGCCAGCAGCCGCGGUAAUUCCAGCUCCAAUAGCGUAUAUUAAAGUUGUUGCAGUUAAAAAGCUCGUAGUUGAAUUUCGGGAUCAAUAUGUUGGUCGUGCCUUGGUACGUACUGGCGUCAUUGGUUUCUACCUUCUGAAGAACCUCGAUGUCAUUAAUUUGGUGUCUUGGGGAAUCAGGACUGUUACUUUGAAAAAAUUAGAGUGUUUAAAGCAAGCUCACGCUUGANUACAUUAGCAUGGAAUAAUGAAAUAGGACGUUUGAUUCUAUUUUGUUGGUUUCUAGGAUCGACGUAAUGAUUAAUAGGGAUAGUUGGGGGCAUUAGUAUUCAAUUGUCAGAGGUGAAAUUCUUGGAUUUAUUGAAGACUAACUACUGCGAAAGCAUUUGCCAAGGAUGUUUUCAUUAAUCAAGAACGAAAGUUAGGGGAUCGAAGACGAUCAGAUACCGUCGUAGUCUUAACCAUAAACUAUGCCGAACUAGGGAUCGGAUGAUGUUAAUUUUUUAANGAANNCAUUCGGCGCCUUAUCGGGAAAC